CGAAAGAAAAGUACACAGAACUAUGGAAAUGAAAAGGUGUGGUAUAUUUCGACCCUAGAAACAAGUCUACGAGUUUUUUUCGCUUAGAAAUUGGGAUUUUUAAAGAUUGUUACCUGCUAUAUAGGCUGUCAAAAAGAUAGUGUACCAAACUACAUCGGCAUAUGCCCUAAGCUGCAUGCCUCUCGAAGAAGUUACAGCCCUCGUAAAGGUCAGAAUCCACCAGCAUUUGUAGCAUUGUCUUUUGUGACCCAGCUGAAAGCAAGUAACUGAGAACAAUAAAUCUUAGAUAUCUUAGACAUCAUGUAUGAAACUUAUAAGGAAUCUAUAUCAAUGGAAUCUUUGCUUGACUGAUUAUUGAAUAUUAAACCUACUUUUCCUAAAAUAUUUUAUACUCUUGUAAGAAAAAGAAA
This is a long non-coding RNA of Sitophilus oryzae (rice weevil), 410 nucleotides long. RefSeq lists it as uncharacterized. NCBI's taxonomy places the organism in Eukaryota, Metazoa, Arthropoda, Insecta, Coleoptera, Curculionidae. The transcript is spliced from 3 exons. The record is from RefSeq and is a predicted model, not a curated record.